RNAcentral lists this ribosomal RNA (253 nucleotides) under uncultured bacterium. Its description in RNAcentral is "partial 16S ribosomal RNA". It matches the Rfam family "Bacterial small subunit ribosomal RNA", at positions 524 to 776 of the family's 1533-position model. The record is from RNAcentral.
UACGAAGGGUGCAAGCGUUACUCGGAAUUACUGGGCGUAAAGCGUGCGUAGGCGGUUUGUUAAGUCUGUCGUGAAAGCCCCGGGCUCAACCUGGGAAUGGCGAUGGAUACUGGCGAGCUAGAGUACGGUAGAGGAGAGUGGAAUUCCCGGUGUAGCAGUGAAAUGCGUAGAGAUCGGGAGGAACAUCAGUUGCGAAGGCGGAUCUCUGGGCCGAUACUGACGCUGAGGAGCGAAAGCGUGGGGAGCGAACAGG